Molecule: ribosomal RNA, 253 nt
Filed under: uncultured bacterium
Lineage: Bacteria
Description: partial 16S ribosomal RNA
Rfam family: Bacterial small subunit ribosomal RNA
Source: RNAcentral
UACGUAGGGUGCAAGCGUUGUCCGGAUUUAUUGGGCGUAAAGAGCGUGUAGGCGGCCAGGUAGGUCUGCUGUGAAAACUCGAGGCUCAACCUCGAGACGUCGGCGGAAACCAUCUGGCUAGAGUCCGGAAGAGGAGAGUGGAAUUCCUGGUGUAGCGGUGAAAUGCGCAGAUAUCAGGAAGAACACCAGUGGCGAAGGCGACUCGCUGGACAAGUAUUGACGCUGAGGUGCGAAAGCGUGGGGAGCAAACAGG